This 104-nucleotide antisense RNA is filed under the name Vibrio sp. 16. RNAcentral describes it as "V_AS9". It matches the Rfam family "Vibrio RNA AS9". From Rfam's summary of the family: Identified by direct cloning an parallel sequencing experiments with 5S/tRNA depletion. Confirmed by Northern blot. The record is from RNAcentral. Lineage: Bacteria; Pseudomonadati; Pseudomonadota; Gammaproteobacteria; Vibrionales; Vibrionaceae.
ACGCUCACAACGCUCUUUCGUCAUCGUCAAACAAAUCAAACCGCGGCCGUGAGUUGCCAUAAAGUUGAUCGCUUCUGGCGUCACGUGCUCUGCCGCCAUGAUCA